Non-coding RNA from Bos taurus (domestic cattle), 74 nucleotides. The record is from Rfam. Lineage: Eukaryota; Metazoa; Chordata; Mammalia; Artiodactyla; Bovidae.
UCCUUGGUGGUCCAGUGGCUAAGACUCCACGCUCCCAAUGCAAGAGGGCCUGGGUUCAAUCCCCAGUCAGGGAA